This 426-nucleotide ribosomal RNA is filed under the name uncultured bacterium. RNAcentral describes it as "partial 16S ribosomal RNA". It matches the Rfam family "Bacterial small subunit ribosomal RNA", at positions 354 to 796 of the family's 1533-position model. The record is from RNAcentral.
GUGAGGAAUUUUCCGCAAUGGGCGAAAGCCUGACGGAGCAAUGCCGCGUGAAGGAUGAAGGCCUAUGGGUUGUAAACUUCUUUUCUCAGAAAAGAAUUAUGACGGUAUCUGAGGAAUAAGCAUCGGCUAACUCUGUGCCAGCAGCCGCGGUAAGACAGAGGAUGCAAGCGUUAUCCGGAAUGAUUGGGCGUAAAGCGUCUGUAGGUUGUUUAAAAAGUAUUCUGUCAAAGAUUAGGGCUUAACCCUAGAUAGGCAGAAUAAACUUUUAAGCUAGAGUUUGGUAGGGGCAGAGGGAAUUCCCGGUGGAGCGGUGAAAUGCGUAGAUAUCGGGAGGAACACCAAAGGCGAAGGCACUCUGCUGGGCCAAUACUAACACUGAGAGACGAAAGCGAGGGGAGCAAAUGGGAUUAGAUACCCGUGUAGUCC